GAAAUGCGAUAAUUAAUGUGAAUUGCAGAAUUCAGUGAAUCAUCGAGUCUUUGAACGCACAUUGCGCCCCCUGGUAUUCCGGGGGGCAUGCCUGUCCGAGCGUCAUUGCUGCCCUCAAGCACGGCUUGUGUGUUGGGCUUCCGUCCCUGGCAACGGGGACGGGCCCAAAGGGCAGUGGCGGCACCAUGUCUGGUCCUCGAGCGUAUGGGGCUUUGUCACCCGCUCCCGUAGGUCCAGCUGGCAGCUAGCCUCGCAACCAAUCCUUUUAACCAGGUUGACCUCGGAUCAGGUAGGGAUACCCGCUGAACUUAAGC
RNAcentral lists this unclassified non-coding RNA (314 nucleotides) under plant metagenome. RNAcentral describes it as "partial contains 5.8S ribosomal RNA, internal transcribed spacer 2, and large subunit ribosomal RNA". The stretch from base 1 to 105 matches the Rfam family "5.8S ribosomal RNA", at positions 50 to 154 of the family's 154-position model. The record is from RNAcentral.